Small nuclear RNA from Onychomys torridus (southern grasshopper mouse), 105 nucleotides. The record is from RefSeq and is a predicted model, not a curated record. NCBI's taxonomy places the organism in Eukaryota, Metazoa, Chordata, Mammalia, Rodentia, Cricetidae.
GCCCACUUCAGCAGCACAUAUACUAAAACUGGAACAAAUCCGAGAAGAUUGGCAUGGCCCCUGUACAAGGAUGACAUUCAAAAUUGUCAAGUGUUCCAUAUUUAA